Long non-coding RNA from Tarenaya hassleriana, 990 nucleotides. RefSeq lists it as uncharacterized. NCBI's taxonomy places the organism in Eukaryota, Viridiplantae, Streptophyta, Magnoliopsida, Brassicales, Cleomaceae. The record is from RefSeq and is a predicted model, not a curated record. The transcript has 2 exons.
UCUUCUCUGUUCCCCUCCUCUGUCUCCGUUUCCAUUUCGAGAGAGAGUAUAUAGUUACCGGUGGUCUCGGAUUCGCUUGGUGCAGGUCGGGAACCGAUACGGCAGACAGGGCCUCGUGGCGUUUUCUGAUUGGUCUGUGAGCGUGUCGGAUCCCGCCUUGCAUCAACUGAAUCGGAGGCCGAGGUGAAGGAGCAGUGCGGCCAUAGAUCUGAGCAGCAGAAUUCGCUCUCUCUCUCUUCUUCUCCUUUUUCAGCCCUUACCCUUUACUUUCUUCUUCGUGCUUUGGUUUUAGAUCUCUGGUCUUGGGCCCAUGAUGAAGGAGCUUUCUCCUCUUCAACCAUGGCGUGACCUUGAAUGUCUCGAAUCUAAGUUGUCUGAUCCAGUGUUGGGUUUCUCCAAAUCAAGGCCUUUUAGUUUCUUCUGGCUUUCCCUCUCUGUUUCUUCGAAUUUCUAAUCUCUCUUUUGUUUCAGGGAGCUAUGGGCAUCAGUUCUUAUUUCUGGAAACAUGUGGAUUGGGUACUCAUCAUUUGUCAGUCUUAGAUCUUAUCUUAUUUAGGAAAGAUUAUUUCAGUUGGAGACCCUGAAUCCUUUUUUUUAUUUUUUCCGCCAGAGCGAGAAAAUUUAGGCUUAUUUUCCUUGUAUUAGCCAAAAUAAAUGUAAUCAACUCAGGAUGGUUCAACCGCUAAAACAUUUGUUCAUCUGAAUUUGAACGUUAAGUCUGGGAUUAGUAUGAAUCUUGAUUUAGAGGAUACCGAAUACCAAAAAAAAAUGUAAUCAUUUGUUUUAUAAAAAUUAUGUUUAACUGUUUUUAACAAAUAAUCAGAAUCAUUUUUUCUGGAAAGAAAAAUUCAUGAGAACAGUUUUUUGAGGGGUUUCACUGCAUCUGCAAUGCAUGGACCCUUUUUCCUCUUUUGUUUCUGUUGAUGGAUGCAAAAUGUCAUCAUAUGAUCCUAUUGAUUUUUUUCGGUGGAACUAAAUAUUAUUAUAUUA